RNAcentral lists this ribosomal RNA (173 nucleotides) under Thermoflavimicrobium daqui. Its description in RNAcentral is "Thermoflavimicrobium sp. FBKL4.011 partial 16S ribosomal RNA". It matches the Rfam family "Bacterial small subunit ribosomal RNA", at positions 1407 to 1533 of the family's 1533-position model. The record is from RNAcentral. Lineage: Bacteria; Bacillati; Bacillota; Bacilli; Caryophanales; Thermoactinomycetaceae.
AGAGUUUGCAACACCCGAAGUCGGUGAGGGAACCUACCCACCCCACAAAGUACUACUUUGCGGGGAACCCCGGGAAGGACCCAGCCGCCGAAGGUGGGGCAGAUGAUUGGGGUGAAGUCGUAACAAGGUAUCCCUACCGGAAGGUGGGGAUGGAUCACCUCCUUUCUACGGAG